This 633-nucleotide unclassified non-coding RNA is filed under the name Hevea brasiliensis (rubber tree). Lineage: Eukaryota; Viridiplantae; Streptophyta; Magnoliopsida; Malpighiales; Euphorbiaceae. The record is from RNAcentral.
UCAAAUACCUCAUCAGGUUCCUGAAAUUGCCUGCAACAUGUGAUUUGAUGAGGUUACAUACUGACUGGGGAUGUUUAUAAUCUUUGAUUUUAUGUUCACAUUUUAAAUGCGAUUAUCCUUUGUAAAACUUUUUUUGCUCCAGUUCAUCUCGAAUGGAAGGAACUGAGGGUGACAGUUGCAAUUGAUGCUGAAAGGCCAGCAUUAAGGGGAUACCAUGGGUCCUCACAUGUGUCAUUGAAUUCCAUGGUUCUUUCGUCUGUGAAAGGGGGAUUAGUGGGUGCAGGGAGUUGUUCCUCUGUUGUUAGCAUCUGUAGCGCCUUUGCAAUUGUUGGUCGGAGCGAAGGUAUCUCUUGGGUACACAAGAGUCCUAAAUGCACUACUCGCAGAACAUCAUUCUUCACGUUGCUGUUAUGGUGGUUGUGCAACAUUAGGUUUGGGUCAUAAAGCUCUUCCACUGUCCCUGCCUGAAAUUUCUUCCACGUAAGGGUGACUAGACUGUCUGUGUAUUCUGAGGUUUUGCUCCUGUUGUUCUGCCUUCCUGUGACAAUCUCCAACAAAAGCACACCAAAGCUAUAUACAUCUGCUUUUUCUGUUAACUGGCCAUGAGCAAGGUAUUCUGGAGCCAUGUAUCCA